AAAAAAAAGGUGCUUUAAAAAGAGUUGAGGCUAAGGUUGUGUGGUUCAGUGGUAGAGCACUUGCCUAGCAUGUGUGAGGCACUGGGUUCUAUUCUCAGCACUGCAUAUAAAUAAAUAAAAUAAAGUCCAUUUACAAGUAAAAAAUAUAUAUAUAUACAUAAAAAGAGUAGAGAACUGAAAGGGAGGUGAGACUAUAGAGGCACAUGGUCCCUUUCUCAUCCAAAAUAGGUUGAUAUAGUACUAUAUUAGAUCCCAAAAGAUAAUAUGCUGGAGAUUGCUAACUUUUUCAGAAACUUCAACAUGCAACACAUCUCUGACCUCCACAGCAUUUUGAACUUCUUAAAUUCCUUCCAUGGAAGUUGGGGAUGUAGCUAAGUGGUGCUCUUGCCCAGCAUGCACAAGGCCCUGGAUUUAAUCCCCAACACCACAGAAUAAUUAAUAAUAAAUAAACAUGAUGGCACACACUCAGGAGACUAAGGCAAGAGGAUCACAAGUUCAAGGCCAGCCUGGGAAACUUAGCAAGAUCCUAUUUCAAAAUAAAAUAUACAGGUUAGGCAUGUAGCUCAGUUCCAGUAAUACAGAGCUUGCCUAGAAUGUGUGAGGCUCUGAGUUUAACUCCAGUGUCUCGAGGGGUGCAGGGAAACACGGGGACCAGGCUUGAUGGCACAGGCCUAAUCCCAGCUACUCAGGAAGGCUGAAGCAGGAGGAUUCCAAGUUCAGCAACUUAGCAAGGCCCUUUGCAAAAUAAAAAUUCUUUAUAAAAAGAUCUGGGCAUGUAGCCGGACACAGUGAUACAUGCCUGUAAUCCCAGCAGCUCAGGAGCCUGAGGCAGGAGGAUCACAAGUUCAAAGCCAGCCUCAGCAACUCAGCAAGGCCCCCAGCAACUCAG
Molecule: long non-coding RNA, 889 nt
Filed under: Marmota monax (woodchuck)
Lineage: Eukaryota; Metazoa; Chordata; Mammalia; Rodentia; Sciuridae
Source: RNAcentral